AUUGAACGCUGGCGGCAGGCCUAACACAUGCAAGUCGAGCGGAUGACGGGAGCUUGCUCCUUGAUUCAGCGGCGGACGGGUGAGUAAUGCCUAGGCAUCUGCCUGGUAGUGGGGGACAACGUUUCGAAAGGAACGCUACUACCGCAUACGUCCUACGGGAGAAAGCAGGGGACCUUCGGGCCUUGCGCUAUCAGAUGAGCCUAGGUCGGAUUAGCUAGUUGGUGGGGUAAUGGCUCACCAAGGCGACGAUCCGUAACUGGUCUGAGAGGAUGAUCAGUCACACUGGAACUGAGACAAGGUCCAGACUCCUACGGGAGGCAGCAGUGGGGAAUAUUGGACAAUGGGCGAAAGCCUGAUCCAGCCAUGCCGCGUGUGUGAAGAAGGUCUUCGGAUUGUAAAGCACUUUAAGUUGGGAGGAAGGGCAGUAAGUUAAUACCUUGCUGUUUUGACGUUACCGACAGAAUAAGCACCGGCUAACUCUGUGCCAGCCGCCGCGGUAA
RNAcentral lists this ribosomal RNA (500 nucleotides) under uncultured bacterium. RNAcentral describes it as "partial 16S ribosomal RNA". It matches the Rfam family "Bacterial small subunit ribosomal RNA", at positions 30 to 523 of the family's 1533-position model. The record is from RNAcentral.